ACUAAUUACACCACAAAUACUACCACUUGAUUUUAGGAAUUAGUGUGAUAACACAAUGCUGUGGAGCUCACGCUCUUGGAGCUGGCCAGUCUGGCACCAAGGCCACCAGGGCCAGUGUUUGCUCACUGUGAGGCUCUGCACUGUCCUGGAAGUCUUGGAUUCUUACCUGGAAGGGCUGGGCACACCUUUCACAACUAGGUGCUGUUGGCACCGAUGUGGGAACAUUGAGGAGGCCAGGAAGACAAAGUCAGAAAUACAAUUCUAUGGCAGUGUGGUGACUUCACAUGCCCCUCCUAACAGCCAUCUCCCGCCUGCAGCCAACUAGGAGCUCUGCUGAGGUGUUCUGACAUGGGAUGCUUUCCCCUGACCUGGUUCUCAGAGAUUGGAUGGUGUUUUUUCUUGUGUUCUCGUGUUCUCGGGAGGCAAGCAUGUUCCUGGUCACUCAAAAUACCUGCAAGGCAAAUGAGCCUUUCCUCUAUGAUACACAUCUCUCCAGGGCACCUCAGCCUGAGUGACCCGUGACUGUCACCUUUCACAUCUGAGCAUGCACACUGGGCCCCAGGGAGACAGGCUUCUUGUCACCCCCAGGCUGUGACUGAAGCUGGUGUCAGGCUUCUCUCAGUAGCCCUCCUCAUUGCUACCACUUGCAGAAAGGUCUUCCUUAUCCCCAGACAAGGUCUUUGGUGGCCUGUACUUUGAGAACUUUGCCUUCCUUACCACAGAAGCCAUUUGACACCGUGCUCGAAUGCUGCCACACAGGAACCCCUGUCUCAGGCACCCACUCCGCCUGCACUUGGCGUCACCCAAGCACCUCCGCUCCAGCUUCGUUUGGCACCGACUCCCUGCUAAGCGCCUGUGCUGAUUGCGAGCAGCUCAGCUCAUGCUGUCUGGCCCUUGACCUUCUUUGGUGUUCUCAGUCCUGUGCAGAGCCAGUUCUGUGCCUGACCUACUCUGGGGCCUGGAGAGGGCCUCAGCAGACUGCUGCUGGGUUUCUGAGAAGCGUGAGCAUGAACCUGGGUGAGCCACAAGUCCUCCUUCCUGGUGACUCCUUCCUAUCAUCUCUCCUCAGGCCUCUAACUCCACAUGGUGAGCAUACAGCUUGCUGUUUCCCAAGGAAGUGAGAACCCACAGAAGAGCCCUUCCACCAUUCUGGACCUCUGGGCGUCUCCCUCACUGGCACUGUAGAACACUAAUUUCUGGUCUUGCUCCAUUAUAGGUUCCCAGCAAGCUCAUAUCAACCCUCCAGUACAAUAGGCUUAGGGAAAUGCUGUUCUUUCCUGAGAAACAAGCACAACUUGUUUCGUGGAUCUUACUUGCUGUAGCCUCAUGUCACCCAGAGGCUGCCACUGCUCCAACUCUCUUUCCAGGGCCCUUCUUCAGGAGACAUGUCCAUGUGGCCACUCCAACCAGACGCUACUUCCAGAAGAUAAGAUGGUAUUCAGGACACUAUGGACUGCAAGCUUCUCUGGCCAUUUUGCAAUUCCAUUUCUCCCUGCUCUAGGACAUUGAGGUGACCCUCUUUGGGCAAUGGCGGAGAGCACUGGUCUGUGCAACAUGUGCUGCCCUGUAUUUAUCUCUCUGAAGUCUGAUUCCCCAGCCUUCCAUGCAGAGCUGUGUGGCACCUAGCAGAAGGCAGGCGUGUACACCUGGCUUCCCCUGAGGCUGUCUUCCCGCCGUUCCCACAUCAGCUGUCACACCAAGGGGCUCAGCCGGCUCUGUUAGCUCUUCCACCAGGAUGCGUCCUAAGGUGGGCAGCACCCUGCUUCUCUCCCCAGCCACAGUCUAGGAGCUGUGCUUGUCACUGUGGCCCUCAUCUGGAGCGCAGCACGGGACUCUUCUGGAAACCCCACCCCAGUGCAGAAGAAAGUGCAUCCCACUGCAGGGGCCCGAGUCCUGCAGGAGCCUGAGGGGUUCAGACGGAGGCCUUGAAUCUCCUGGAGCUGAACUGCCUGACAUGAAUUCUGGGAAGUGAAUUUAGGUCUUCCAGAAGAGCAGUAUGCACUCUUAACCACUGAGCUACUCAUUUUUGUUGCAGGCGCCUGCAAUGAGGCAUCCGCUGCUUCUGGUGCUUUUCAGCGACUGGACUAGGUUUCUCCUCGUCCUUUCCCUCCUGACCAUGAAAUGUUUAUUUAGCUAUGUUCUUACAACUUCUUCAAAUCUAUUUGCCAAGGUAUUUGUUCUCUAACAGCACUAAACCUAUUUAGAGUUUUCUUCAAAAUGUGGACAAAAUUAUUUGGAGCUUUGGAAACCGUGCAUAAUCUCUGUCUUAGUUUUUUUCCCUGUUACCAUGAGAAAACACAGACAUAAACAACUCAAGAGGGUUCACUUUAGUUCAAGGCCACAGGAGCUUGAAGUAGCUCAAGCAGCUGGUUGUCACAUCCACAAUCACAAACAGAGGAUCGGAUGCAUGCUGCCGCUCCAUCCCCCUUUUCGCUCCAAAAGUUCAGGAUCCCAGCAGGGGAAGGUGAUAUUCACAGAGUGGGGGGGCGUCCCACCUUAAUUAAUGAGAUUAAUAGAAUCUCCUGUAGGUAUGCCCAGAAGGCUCAGAGGAUGGGCCCAAUUGUGCGAAGAAUGAUUUUAAACAUUUGGUUCUCUUGUUUCUGUUUCUCAGAUUCUUAAAUUGCAGGCCCGUGCUGCCACAUCCAGGCGCCUCCACACCCAUGUUAUGAUUGCUGGGUGCUGAUUCAGGGCUUCACGCAUGCGGGGGAAGCCCCAGGGCUUCAUGCAUGUCAGGUAAGCGCCUUAGCAACCGAGCAGAACCCCAGCUCUUUGCAAGGUUCUUUAAAAUCUUGCGAGAAGACAGGUUCUUCCCAGGAGUUGUUCUUCUCUGGAAGACAACUGAGAAUCACUUCUAAUGUUAUAUUCCUUCUCUGAGCAUUUUUAACCUGGUGUCAGUGAAUGUGAAUUUACCCUGAGUUCUGUUUGGCCUCUGGCAGAGGGAUGUGCAACCCUGAGCUGCCCCUUAUGUUUACGAUGUGUUCCCCACAGCGUGUCACAGUUCUUGAAAUACACCCUCUUGGAAGGAGAAAAGUUCAUGAAACUUACAAGACCCUCUUGCAUGGGAUCUGGCUCCAGCCAGUAUCAGACAGCUCUCUGAGUCCCACUGCACCCGGUGUCAGACAGUUCUCUGAGCCCCACUGCCCCUGGUGUCAUUCUCUGAGCCCCUCUGUCUCCGGUGUCAGCAUUUUAUCGCGGCAGCCUCUGUUUACCUCCUAGCUCACUAAUUCACAAGAGAUUGAAAUUCACCCCAAAUUUAGAAAAUUUCUUCUUAAAGGAUCUUCCAAGAUUUCUAGCAUGCACUGGCAACCUGGGCUAUUUGUUU
Mus musculus (house mouse) is the source of this 3322-nucleotide long non-coding RNA. RefSeq annotates it as predicted gene, 41427. The record is from RefSeq and is a predicted model, not a curated record. NCBI's taxonomy places the organism in Eukaryota, Metazoa, Chordata, Mammalia, Rodentia, Muridae. The transcript has 3 exons.